This 852-nucleotide ribosomal RNA is filed under the name Monacha magna. RNAcentral describes it as "partial 16S ribosomal RNA". The record is from RNAcentral. Lineage: Eukaryota; Metazoa; Mollusca; Gastropoda; Stylommatophora; Hygromiidae.
GUAAUUUAUAAUUUAUUUAAAUUAAAAUUCACGAAACCAGGCGAACUAAAUUUAAUAUGAGUUUAGUCAAUAUAUUAAUUGGCGUAGCAUAGCCACAUGGUUAAUUAAAUUUAGGGGUGAUAGGCCAUUCAAGUCUGGUGAUAUCUUGAUUUUAAGUAAAUAUAUUUAGUAUAAAAUUCACCCUGAAAAUGGUGAGGUUUUCAGGAAAUAUUAUAUAUAGUUAAUAAAAGAAUUGGUAUUUGUAAAAAAAACCAAAAUAUAUCAACUAAUAUUAUAUACUUUAUGUAUAUAUCUCAUACUUAAACCUUUUGAGUUAUAUUAUCCAACCAUGUAUAUGAUUACAUUAGUAUUAAACUUAAAUUUUUUUAAGGAAUUCGGCAAAAUUUUUCCUCGACUGUUUACCAAAAACAUAGCCCUAAGUUAUUUCUUUAGGGUUAAACCUGCUCAAUGAUUUUUUAAAUAGCCGCAGUACUUUGACUGUGCAAAGGUAGCAUAAUCAAUUGUCUUUUAAUUGAAGUCUAGUAUGAAUGGGAAUUAGGGGAAAUUCUGUCUUAUUUAAAUUGUAGAACUUAUUUAAUAAGUGAAAAUACUUAUAUUAAGAAAAAAGACGAGAAGACCCUAGAAAUUUUUUUCAUUUUUAAUUUUUAGGAUUUUGUUGGGGCGACAAGGUAACAAAAAACUUACCUAUUUUUUAGAAUCUUUUUAGAAGAAUAAAUAAAUUACUCUAGGGAUAACAGCAUAAUAUUUGAAAGUUUGUGACCUCGAUGUUGGACUAGGAACUCCAUUACUUAGAAGGUAAUGGGUCAAGCUCUGUUCGAGCUAUUAUUCCUACAUGAUCUGAGUUCAGACCGG